RNAcentral lists this unclassified non-coding RNA (349 nucleotides) under uncultured fungus. Its description in RNAcentral is "partial contains 5.8S ribosomal RNA and internal transcribed spacer 2". The stretch from base 1 to 133 matches the Rfam family "5.8S ribosomal RNA", at positions 22 to 154 of the family's 154-position model. The record is from RNAcentral. Lineage: Eukaryota; Fungi.
UGGCUCUUGCAUCGAUGAAGAACGCAGCGAAAUGCGAUAAGUAAUGUGAAUUGCAGAAUUCAGUGAAUCAUCGAAUCUUUGAACGCAUCUUGCGCUCCUUGGUAUUCCGAGGAGCAUGCCUGUUUGAGUGUCAUCAAAAAUUCUCAACCAUGCUGGUCCUUUCUGGUCUGGUGUGGCUUGGAUUUGGGGCUUGCGGGCUUUUAACACAAGUCGGCUCCCCUGAAAAGGAUUAGCGGUAUCCGAGUACCUUGGGCGUGAUAAUUGUCUAUGCCCACUGGUAUGCAGGACCUGCUUCUAGCCGAAUGCUGUUGACAAAUUUGACCUCAAAUCAGGUAGGACUACCCGCUGA